RNAcentral lists this ribosomal RNA (1103 nucleotides) under Amarenographium solium. RNAcentral describes it as "SSU rRNA". It matches the Rfam family "Eukaryotic small subunit ribosomal RNA". Lineage: Eukaryota; Fungi; Ascomycota; Dothideomycetes; Pleosporales. The record is from RNAcentral.
CUCUAUACAUCAUUCUAGUAUAGCAAUUAUCCCGUGAAACUGCGAAUGGCUCAAUAAAUCAGUUAUCGUUUAUUUGAUAGUACCUUACUACUUGGAUAACCGUGGUAAUUCUAGAGCUAAUACAUGCUAAAAAUCUCGACUUCGGAAGAUGUAUUUAUUAGAUAAAAAACCAAUGCCCUUCGGGGCUCUUUGGUGAUUCAUGAUAACUUUUCAGAUCGCAUGGCCUUGAGCCGGCGACGGUUCAUUCAAAUUUCUGCCCUAUCAACUUUCGAUGGUAAGGUAUUGGCUUACCAUGGUUUCAACGGGUAACGGGGAAUUAGGGUUCGAUUCCGGAGAGGGAGCCUGAGAAACGGCUACCACAUCCAAGGAAGGCAGCAGGCGCGCAAAUUACCCAAUCCCGACACGGGGAGGUAGUGACAAUAAAUACUGAUACAGGGCUCUUUUGGGUCUUGUAAUUGGAAUGAGUACAAUUUAAACUUCUUAACGAGGAACAAUUGGAGGGCAAGUCUGGUGCCAGCAGCCGCGGUAAUUCCAGCUCCAAUAGCGUAUAUUAAAGUUGUUGCAGUUAAAAAGCUCGUAGUUGAACCUUGGGCCUGGCUGGCAGGUCCGCCUCACCGCGUGUACUUGACCGGCCGGGCCUUUUCUUCUGGAGAACCUCAUGCCCUUCACUGGGUGUGCUGGGGAACCAGGACUUUUACUUUGAAAAAAUUAGAGUGUUCAAAGCAGGCCUUUGCUCGAAUACGUUAGCAUGGAAUAAUUGAAUAAGACGUUGCGGUCUUAUUUUGUUGGUUUCCUAAGACCGCCGUAAUGAUUAAUAGGGACGGUUGGGGGCAUUAGUAUUCAAUUGUCAGAGGUGAAAUUCUUGGAUUUAUUGAAGACUAACUACUGCGAAAGCAUUUGCCAAAGAUGUUUUCAUUAAUCAGUGAACGAAAGUUAGGGGAUCGAAAACGAUCAGAUACCGUUGUAGUCUUAACCGUAACCGUAAACUAUGCCGACUAGGGAUUGGACGGUGUUUCUAUCUUGACCCGUUCAGCACCUUACGAGAAAUCAAAGUUUUUGGGUUUGGGGGGAUUAAUGUCCCAGGUGAUAGAAUAAAUAUAGGU